GCCUUCGUGGUGUAAUGGUCAGCACAUUCAGCUUUGUAUUCGAGAGGUCCAUAGUUCAAGUCCCGGCGAGGGCA
RNAcentral lists this transfer RNA (74 nucleotides) under Stegodyphus mimosarum. It matches the Rfam family "tRNA". From Rfam's summary of the family: Transfer RNA (tRNA) molecules are approximately 80 nucleotides in length. Their secondary structure includes four short double-helical elements and three loops (D, anti-codon, and T loops). Further hydrogen bonds mediate the characteristic L-shaped molecular structure. tRNAs have two regions of fundamental functional importance: the anti-codon, which is responsible for specific mRNA codon recognition, and the 3' end, to which the tRNAs corresponding amino acid is attached (by aminoacyl-tRNA synthetases). tRNAs cope with the degeneracy of the genetic code in two manners: having more than one tRNA (with a specific anti-codon) for a particular amino acid; and 'wobble' base-pairing, i.e. permitting non-standard base-pairing at the 3rd anti-codon position. Lineage: Eukaryota; Metazoa; Arthropoda; Arachnida; Araneae; Eresidae. The record is from Rfam by way of RNAcentral.